RNAcentral lists this ribosomal RNA (444 nucleotides) under uncultured bacterium. RNAcentral's name for it is "bacterial SSU rRNA". It matches the Rfam family "Bacterial small subunit ribosomal RNA", at positions 23 to 490 of the family's 1533-position model. The record is from RNAcentral.
CUCAGGACGAACGCUGGCGGCGUGCCUAACACAUGCAAGUCGAACGGGACCCGCAAGGGUUCAGUGGCGAACGGGUGCGUAACACGUGAAGAAUUUGUCCAACGGCGGGGGAUAGCCGGCCCAACGGCCGGGUAAUACCGCGUACGACCUUCGAGGGGCAUCCCUUGAUGGUGAAAGCAGCAAGGCGCCGAUGGAGAACUUCGCGGCCUAUCAGCUAGUUGGUGAGGUCAUGGCUCACCAAGGCGACGACGGGUAGCUGGUCCGAGAGGAUGACCAGCCACAUUGGGACUGAGACACGGCCCAGACUCCUACGGGAGGCAGCAGUGGGGAAUAUUGCGCAAUGGGCGAAAGCCUGACGCAGCGACGCCGCGUGUGGGAUGAAGGUCUUCGGAUUGUAAACCACUGUCGGGAGGGACGAAGAUCUGACGGUACCUCCAAAGGAAG